This 248-nucleotide unclassified non-coding RNA is filed under the name uncultured Chaetomiaceae. RNAcentral describes it as "sequence contains ITS2". Lineage: Eukaryota; Fungi; Ascomycota; Sordariomycetes; Sordariales. The record is from RNAcentral.
AACGCACAUUGCGCCCCUUGGUAUUCCAUGGGGCAUGCCUGUUCGAGCGUCAUUUCAACCAUCAAGCCCCAGGCUUGUGUUGGGGACCUGCGGCUGCCGCAGGCCCUGAAAACCAGUGGCGGGCUCGCUGUCACACCGGGCGUAGUAGAUUUUAUCUCGCUCAGGGCGUGCUGCGGGUUCCGGCCGUUAAAAAGCCUUUUUUACCCAAGGUUGACCUCGGAUCAGGUAGGAAUACCCGCUGAACUUAA